Molecule: ribosomal RNA, 774 nt
Filed under: uncultured Neocallimastigales
Lineage: Eukaryota; Fungi; Neocallimastigomycota; Neocallimastigomycetes; Neocallimastigales
Description: partial large subunit ribosomal RNA
Rfam family: Eukaryotic large subunit ribosomal RNA
Source: RNAcentral
GUAGUCUCGCACAGAUGCAUAUCAAUAAGCGGAGGAAAAGAAACUAACAAGGAUUCCCUCAGUAACGGCGAGUGAAGCGGGAAGAGCUCAAAUUUGAAAUCUUGAAAGGUCACCUUUCACGAAUUGUAGUUUAAAGAAGUGUUUUCUGUUACGAUCGUAAUAUAAGUUCUUUGGAAUAGGACAUCACAGAGGGUGAGAAUCCCGUCUAUGAUUGCGAAUUGUAGCUUUGUGAUACACUUUCAAAGAGUCGGAUUGUUUGGGAAUGCAGUCCCAAAAUGGGAUGGUAAAUUUCAUCUAAGGCUAAAUAUUGGCGAGAGACCGAUAGCGAACAAGUACCGUGAGGGAAAGAUGAAAAGAACUUUGAAAAGAGAGUUAAAUAGUACGUGAAAUUGUCAAAAGGGAAGCGUUUAACACCAGUGUUGUUUUCUGAAAAUCAACCUCUGUUAGCUUUAUGCAUGUUUGUUUAGACCUAAUCAGCUAUCUUGCAUGUUCUAUUGUUUGCAGUGGUGCACUUUUCAGUUUACAGGUCAACAUCAGUUUUUUUUACCGUAAAAAAGUUAAAGAAAGGUAGCUCAUGGCUCCGGUCGUGAGUGUUAUAGUCUUUUUCCUAUGCGGUAGGAGAGACUGAGGUCUGCAGUGUAGGCUAUUUGGCUAGAUACUCAGGUGCUAUGUGAUACCAUUUCAUAAACAACUUGUUGAUUAUGUUUUGUCUAUUGCAUACUCGCUUGUACUAUCAUACCUACGCUUAGGAAUGUUGAGUCGUAGAGCACGCAG